CCUACGGUGUGCUGCAGUGGGGAAUAUUGGACAAUGGGCGAAAGCCUGAUCCAGCCAUGCCGCGUGUGUGAAGAAGGCCUUCGGGUUGUAAAGCACUUUCAGUGGGGAAGAAAGCCUUGGGGCUAAUACCCUCGAGGAAGGACAUCACCCACAGAAGAAGCACCGGCUAACUCCGUGCCAGCAGCCGCGGUAAUACGGAGGGUGCGAGCGUUAAUCGGAAUUACUGGGCGUAAAGCGCGCGUAGGCGGUCUGAUAAGCCGGUUGUGAAAGCCCCGGGCUCAACCUGGGAACGGCAUCCGGAACUGUCAGGCUAGAGUGCAGGAGAGGAAGGUAGAAUCCCCGGUGUAGCGGUGAAAUGCGUAGAGAUCGGGAGGAAUACCAGUGGCGAAGGCGGCCUUCUGGACUGACACUGACGCUGAGGUGCGAAAGCGUGGGUAGCAAACAGGAUUAGAUACCCCAGUAGUC
Molecule: ribosomal RNA, 465 nt
Filed under: Vreelandella stevensii
Lineage: Bacteria; Pseudomonadati; Pseudomonadota; Gammaproteobacteria; Oceanospirillales; Halomonadaceae
Description: partial 16S ribosomal RNA
Rfam family: Bacterial small subunit ribosomal RNA
Source: RNAcentral